RNAcentral lists this ribosomal RNA (253 nucleotides) under uncultured bacterium. RNAcentral's name for it is "partial 16S ribosomal RNA". It matches the Rfam family "Bacterial small subunit ribosomal RNA", at positions 524 to 776 of the family's 1533-position model. The record is from RNAcentral.
UACGUAGGUGGCAAGCGUUAUCCGGAAUUAUUGGGCGUAAAGCGCGCGCAGGCGGUUUCUUAAGUCUGAUGUGAAAGCCCACGGCUCAACCGUGGAGGGUCAUUGGAAACUGGGGAACUUGAGUGCAGAAGCGAAAAGCGGAAUUCCACGUGUAGCGGUGAAAUGCGUAGAGAUGUGGAGGAACACCAGUGGCGAAGGCGGCUUUUUGGUCUGUAACUGACGCUGAGGCGCGAAAGCGUGGGGAGCAAACAGG